GGGGGUGUAGUUAAAUAUAACAUUUAAUUUGCAAUUAAAAAUUGUUCAACAUCAUAAAUAGAGCCUCCCUCA
Molecule: transfer RNA, 72 nt
Filed under: Megymenum gracilicorne
Lineage: Eukaryota; Metazoa; Arthropoda; Insecta; Hemiptera; Dinidoridae
Also listed under: 1 other name
Description: tRNA-Ala
Rfam family: tRNA
About the family: Transfer RNA (tRNA) molecules are approximately 80 nucleotides in length.
Source: RNAcentral